Long non-coding RNA from Mauremys reevesii (Reeves's turtle), 321 nucleotides. RefSeq lists it as uncharacterized. The record is from RefSeq and is a predicted model, not a curated record. NCBI's taxonomy places the organism in Eukaryota, Metazoa, Chordata, Testudines, Geoemydidae. The transcript is spliced from 3 exons.
UAUGCCUAGGAAAUGUUAAAAUGUAUUUACCAAACAGAUGAUUCAAGGGACUUUUCUACACCAGAGAAUGUUGGUCAGAUCCUUAGCCAGUGUUCACUGGGACAGUGCCAUUGCGGAGCUAUGCUGAUGUGGACCAGCUGAGGAUCCAACCCAGGAAGUUUUCAAUUAUCUCAUGAUUUCACAUUAAGCAAAUUUUGAAGUGCUGGAAAGGGCCCGGGUAUCCCUGAGCAAUGAUGAAGAACACCAAAGGCUGGAGAAGAGCCUCCUUAAAACUCCACCAGCAGUUUCCCCCAAAACUUCAUUUCUCCCCAUAUUCCUGGG